Molecule: ribosomal RNA, 1020 nt
Filed under: Bacillus safensis
Lineage: Bacteria; Bacillati; Bacillota; Bacilli; Caryophanales; Bacillaceae
Description: bacterial SSU rRNA
Rfam family: Bacterial small subunit ribosomal RNA
Source: RNAcentral
CCGUGGCGGCUGCCUAUACAUGCAGUCGAGCGGACAGAAGGGAGCUUGCUCCCGGAUGUUAGCGGCGGACGGGUGAGUAACACGUGGGUAACCUGCCUGUAAGACUGGGAUAACUCCGGGAAACCGGAGCUAAUACCGGAUAGUUCCUUGAACCGCAUGGUUCAAGGAUGAAAGACGGUUUCGGCUGUCACUUACAGAUGGACCCGCGGCGCAUUAGCUAGUUGGUGGGGUAAUGGCUCACCAAGGCGACGAUGCGUAGCCGACCUGAGAGGGUGAUCGGCCACACUGGGACUGAGACACGGCCCAGACUCCUACGGGAGGCAGCAGUAGGGAAUCUUCCGCAAUGGACGAAAGUCUGACGGAGCAACGCCGCGUGAGUGAUGAAGGUUUUCGGAUCGUAAAGCUCUGUUGUUAGGGAAGAACAAGUGCGAGAGUAACUGCUCGCACCUUGACGGUACCUAACCAGAAAGCCACGGCUAACUACGUGCCAGCAGCCGCGGUAAUACGUAGGUGGCAAGCGUUGUCCGGAAUUAUUGGGCGUAAAGGGCUCGCAGGCGGUUUCUUAAGUCUGAUGUGAAAGCCCCCGGCUCAACCGGGGAGGGUCAUUGGAAACUGGGAAACUUGAGUGCAGAAGAGGAGAGUGGAAUUCCACGUGUAGCGGUGAAAUGCGUAGAGAUGUGGAGGAACACCAGUGGCGAAGGCGACUCUCUGGUCUGUAACUGACGCUGAGGAGCGAAAGCGUGGGGAGCGAACAGGAUUAGAUACCCUGGUAGUCCACGCCGUAAACGAUGAGUGCUAAGUGUUAGGGGGUUUCCGCCCCUUAGUGCUGCAGCUAACGCAUUAAGCACUCCGCCUGGGGAGUACGGUCGCAAGACUGAAACUCAAAGGAAUUGACGGGGGCCCGCACAAGCGGUGGAGCAUGUGGUUUAAUUCGAAGCAACGCGAGAACCUUACCAGGUCUUGACAUCCUCUGACAACCCUAGAGAUAGGGCUUUCCCUUCGGGGACAGAGUGACAGUGG